GGUUCAAGUAAAAAUGAUAAGAGUGUGGAUGAUGGAAAGGGGGGUAUCAACAGUUCAAUGGCUAUCAACCCUGUUACUGAGACAGUACGCAUGGAAGAAACAAGAGGUGAAUCUAGUGGCCCUCACAGAAGCUACGAUAACAAAAGAUUAAAUGAAGAAAGUGCAGGAGCUGAAAAAGUAGUCAGCAGUGAAGACAAGUCAUUAUCUGACCAACUUGAGAAUGCUGGAAGUGAAGACAGUAAAAAACAAUUGGCACCCAACAUGAUCACAAAAAUCAAAGGCAUCAGUGAAAUAGGAGGUAAUUCUAACUGUGAUGUCAAAUUAGUCCGUGAAGGAAGUGUGGAUGCUGUGAAGAUAGAGAUCAAUGGCCAAAGGGCACCUAGCACUGUAACAGAGAUUGGAGAAAUUAGGUCUGAAUCUAAUGGUUCAAGUAAAAUUGAUGAGAGAGCAGA
RNAcentral lists this unclassified non-coding RNA (452 nucleotides) under Hevea brasiliensis (rubber tree). Lineage: Eukaryota; Viridiplantae; Streptophyta; Magnoliopsida; Malpighiales; Euphorbiaceae. The record is from RNAcentral.